GUGACUCCUACGGGAGGCAGCAGUGGGGAAUAUUGCACAAUGGGGGAAACCCUGAUGCAGCCAUGCCGCGUGUGUGAAGAAGGCCUUCGGGUUGUAAAGCACUUUCAGUAGGGAGGAAGGUAGUGUAGUUAACACCUGCAUUAUUUGACGUUACCUACAGAAGAAGCACCGGCUAACUCCGUGCCAGCAGCCGCGGUAAUACGGAGGGUGCGAGCGUUAAUCGGAAUUACGUGGGACGUAAAGCGCAUGCAGGCGGCCUGUUAAGUCAGAUGUGAAAGCCCCGGGGCUUAACCUCGGAAUUGCAUUUGAAACUGGCAGGCUAGAGUCUUGUAGAGGGGGUAGAAUUUCAGGUGUAGCGGUGAAAUGCGUAGAGAUCUGAAGGAAUACCAGUGGCGAAGGCGGCCCCCUGGACAAAGACUGACGCUCAGAUGCGAAAGCGUGGGGAGCAAACAGGAUUAGAUACCCUGGUAG
This 471-nucleotide ribosomal RNA is filed under the name uncultured bacterium. RNAcentral describes it as "bacterial SSU rRNA". It matches the Rfam family "Bacterial small subunit ribosomal RNA", at positions 332 to 793 of the family's 1533-position model. The record is from RNAcentral.